This 638-nucleotide long non-coding RNA is filed under the name Homo sapiens (human). Its description in RNAcentral is "HSALNT0369896". The record is from RNAcentral. Lineage: Eukaryota; Metazoa; Chordata; Mammalia; Primates; Hominidae.
AGCUGGAGCAGUCCGGCUCCUAGAACUCUUAAAACUGACCAGCCAGGGAUCCCUUUCAGGAUACUGAAAGUUUCUACCUUGAAGAGAAACUGUGGAAGUAGGCAGUAGAGAAGGGGUGGAGAGAUGGAGUUCACUAUGUUUCCCAGGCCGGUCUUGAACUCUCGGGCUCAAUCAAAGGAGUAGAAACAAUGCAAAUGGCAACAUGAGGGCUGAACUCUGGCACAGAGCUUUAGAAGAAAGAAGAAACUAAAUUCCUAUGAUAAAGGCGACACACAGCUCUAGGUAAUGAAAGAAGUAAGCUUGACCUCCUGAUGCCAGUAUACUUCCUACUGUACUAAGAUGAAGACCUAUGAAUCCAGCCUGCAGAUCAAGAGGGCUGAAUAGGCCAGGUGUGGUGGCUCACACUUGUAAUCCCAGCACUUUGGGAGGCCGAGGCAGGUGGAUCAUCUGAGGUCAGGAGUUUGAGACCAGCCUAGACAACAUGGUGAAACAUCGUCUCUACUAAAAAUUCAAAAAUCAGCUGGGAGUGGUGGUGGGUGCCGGUAAUCCCAGCUACUCGGGAGGUUGAGGCAGGAGAAUCGCUUGAACCUGGGACGCGGAAGUUGCAGUGAGCCGAGAUGGUGCCUAUGCACUCCAGC